Molecule: ribosomal RNA, 253 nt
Filed under: uncultured bacterium
Lineage: Bacteria
Description: partial 16S ribosomal RNA
Rfam family: Bacterial small subunit ribosomal RNA
Source: RNAcentral
UACGUAGGGUGCGAGCGUUAAUCGGAAUUACUGGGCGUAAAGCGUGCGCAGGCGGUUUUGUAAGUCAGAUGUGAAAUCCCCGGGCUUAACCUGGGAACUGCGUUUGAAACUACAAGGCUAGAGUGUAGCAGAGGGGGGUGGAAUUCCACGUGUAGCAGUGAAAUGCGUAGAGAUGUGGAGGAACACCGAUGGCGAAGACAGCCCCCUGGGUUAACACUGACGCUCAGGCACGAAAGCGUGGGGAGCAAACAGG